AACAGAAUACCCUUUUUAACCCAAAAUAUUUUUAAUAAGUCUCAUUACGUCUCUAAAUGAUCAGGGUUGUAAGUCAGAUAAGAUUAAUAAUUUAUAAUAGCUUAUUUCUAGUAUUGAACUGAAUACAUCUAGAUCUUAAGAUUGUUCUUACAGGCCAUUAAUCCAAUAUUAUACAUUAUAUUAUAACAAUACAUAUACAUCUUUUGUUAAAUGCUUAAAAUGCAUUUAAGGGUCAAAUUAAAUUUCUUAGACUAAAACUUAUUUAUCUAUUUGUCUUAAAGAAAAAAUUGGAGGAUUGAGGUCUAAAAAUGUUUGAGCGAACAUCACGAUCUUGUAUAUUUAGUAGUAUAAAAGUCUUUUCAAGCCAAUAUUUAAAAUAUAAGGCCAAGCUAUUGCACACGCAAGUAUAAAGCAAAUAGUCAUUUCACUAAAGUCCGCCAGAAGCAGAACAUAAAGUAAAUUACGAUCAUUAUAUUUUAAAAAAUAUAAUUCAGCUUCGUCGAUCUAAACAUUUAGAAUAAGUUAUUCUAGUGAUUAAAAACUGUGUUCUGUAUCUGAUUUCAAUUAGGGUUUUAAUUUGUAGAGAAGAAUCAAAGAAAAAGUUUCUACGCUCAGUGGAGGUAGCAAAAGCAGCCCCCAGAAAACUUCCAAAAGGUGUGUAUCUCAGCAAACUCCACGGAAAAAAUUAUGACUCUACUGAAAUUAGCGGCUCAUUGGCCUAACUUUAUAUUCACGUUACCUCAAGCUCAUGCAAGCUCAAUAUUUUGAACUAGUAUUUUUUCAUCCGCCAACUGCACGGAAAGUUAUUAAAAGUGCAAUGAAUCACGGCUUUCUGUUUUGCGUGAACAAAAAAAACUGCAAGCUGGGUGUUGCACAUAAUACUAACAUCUUACGUAUAUUUCUUAGCAAAACAUGGGUAUUGAUUAUACCCGUUGCUCGAAGUCUAAAAGGGUAUAUUAGAUACGCCUAAAGUAUAAGUGUACAAAGUUUUAUAUUCUUGAUAAGGAUCAUUAGCGGAACGACCUGAUAAUGUCCGACUUCCCGUAUGAACCCUGUGGUUGUAGCAUUAAUAUAGAUUAAGCGAUUAUCGGGCCUAAAGAAAAGAAAACACAUCUUAAAAAAUAUAUUUCAUAAAAAUAAUACACACAUACAUAGUUAAAAGUUAAUAUUUAUAAAAAUUGGAUUUCUUGAGGCGGCACCACGUGAUGCACCUAAUAAUCGAUAUUUACUAGACAAUGUCUACUCUAGUUUUUCACACGUCGCAAGCGGAAUACUGUUAUGACUAACAGUCAUACUUGACUGACCUUACACUAAUAUAAAGCCAUUUUUUUAAAUUUAUUUUGUGAUAUUAUGUAUACUGCGUUUGUGAUAUUAUGCUAUAAUCAAAUAAUUAUAACAUUAAGGCUAUGUAAAGAAGAAUUUUGUACAUGGUGCGAUUUAUCGAAAAUAAUACAUAUUUAAAGGCUAAGAACUUGUAAAGUAAAGGGCAUACUUUGUCAAAUUUACCAUGCAUGAGCAUAUGUGUGCACAUACAGUUGUCGGCUGUCACUGUAUGCGUAGAAGAGAUUGCUGGCUGUUGAGCUUUCCGCUCUCUGGCUCUUGAAAAAAAUUCAAGAGAGCCUGGAUCGAUAACUCUAAACAUUUGACCCUGUGUUUAAUCAAGCGCCUAUGAGUUUAAACAGGUCAGCAACGCUAUUCGUACCCAAAAAUGUUUAAUAUGCAGCCGAAAUCGCAGUCUCAAACUAUAACUUGACUUGUAUGCAAUAUCAAGAAAGAAAGUAUUGGACGAUUUUUAAAUUCCUUCGCACAGCCGUUGGUAGACAUGAGUACUGAGGCUCCAAGUAGUGUCCUAAGAAACAGAAAAAACUCUUUGUUGAGCCCAUAAGCGAGAGUAGAAGUAAAGAAGCUCGCGAGAGAGGGGAGCUUAGAUAAGAAAAGAAAAUGCCACAGCUGAGUUGCCUCUAAAUUGUGACUCCGAAGUUAGCAAGUAAACAAAUAACAAUACUAGGAAUUGGCCCAACAUACCCCCCGUUGGAAUCUUGGCUUUCAACAGAAUUCCAAAGGCGCAGUGACUCAGUCCAUUCCCUGCUCGCUUCGUCGAUCCUGCCCCUGUAUGAUCCCCCGGUACGCUGAUUGGGUUUCGGUCACUGAAUCCAACGAAGACUUCUCAUACUCGACGAAGACCUUUCGGUCAACAAAGGGUGAAAGCAAGACACGUGAGCUAGAUGGCUGACCUGACUCUUUAGUGUGCGUAGAUUUUUCAAGAGAGGCUCUUCGACGAAAUUCUAGCACUGGCUUCCCCGUUAAUGUUCUAGGUAGUAAUCAGUAAUGGAGUGUGUGUAAUCCGUUCCAACCGCGUCUCUUGCAUUAGCUUGCAGAAGCUUGACUUGGCCAAUUCACACCUGUUCGGAAAAGAUACUGGCGCCAAUCCGUGCGUUGAGAACGAUAAUAUUUAAGCUGUCAAUGCUAAUAAUCAAGGACGGAUGACUUUCAAUUAUAUUGGAGACACCAACAGCAGUGAUGUUGGUCGAGAACAUUGAAAUGUUUACUGACGAAACAUCUGUUUCAAAGCUAGAAUCCACUAUUCCGGUGACACAAGCUGCAGAUUUUGACCUUUUAGGUUGAAGCGUAUAUGCGAAUCGAGAUGUUAUGAGGUGCGGUUGAGAUCCAGAGUCGAGCAGAGCACGGAAAGGAACGAAGAUUCCUGAACGGUUCCUCACUAAUACGCUUUGAAAUCUCCUCAAAAACUGAGGAUGAAGAACGGAAUCGUAAAAUGAUGUUAACUUGAUAAAAAAUCUGCUAAUCGCUCCCCAAUAUAUUAUGUAUUGCAUCCGCGUGGCCAGAUCGACUAGGCUAUUGAUCUUGAUCAAGAAAAUAUAUAUAUUUUAUAUUGUCGGAAUCUCUUCCUUCUGCCUGUUACAUACUUUUCAACGUACUAGUGAAGGGUAUAAAAUUGUUUAUGUUUGCUAUGCCGUCGAUCGUGAGAGAGAUGUAUGUAUGUCGUCUCAGGAGCUUAUGUCGUAUUCAUUUGAAUAAUUGUACAGUAGUCACUGGAUUUAUGUUGUUCACAAAUGGAAUAAUGGGUAUCUCGGAAUAUACAGGUAGUUGGGUAUUUGCGUUUACUUCACUCGCACCUCCUUUUGGCGAUGGGCAAUAGAUUUGGUUUAGUUUUAACAAUCGUAUUGGUUCAUAUAAAGUUAAAUUUGCGCUGGACAAUAUAAAUUUAAAUUUUUAAUGUAAGUUUUAUAUUAUUUAUUUUUAGUGUACACUGCCUUAAUUGUAUUUCACAAUCUUGUUAAAUUUGUUUUUUACUUAUAUGUUCCAAUAAUAUUACGCUCAAUAUAUUUAAUAUAUUCAUUUUCCGAUACAAAUGUAUUGGCAAUUCGCUAAUUGACUAGUAAGGAUUUAAAAGAUGCAUACGUUUUCUAAAGAUUUUGGUGAACGAACUGGAUACAUGCGUUAGAAUAAUAAAGUCUGACUGCUUAACCAAGCUGAAGUUUUGUGGGAUAACGAAUUUUCUUAUUCUUCAUGUUUUAAUAUUUUGGGAUUAAGAGUAGGAAUAUCUCUUUUCAUUGUAAACUCAUUUGUGAAUCUUCGAUAUAUUCAAGAAAUAAGCUUAAUGAACAUAUCUAGAAAAUGUGAAAGCCUCUUCUUCUUCCUAUUUUAUAAGUCUUUUUGUAUCUUUGGGUUUUUUGUAUAUCAUUUUAAUUAUUUCAUGAAAUUUCCUUAAUUUCAUGUUUUAUUUGAAGUAGUGCGAAAGCAAAACAAGAGCAUUAUUAAUAUAUUUUCAUGUUUUAUAAAAUCUUGGUGAGUUUUAUAUAUUGUUGUUUGAUUUAUCAUAUGAUGUUCUUAGUUCAGAGCUAUUUUUAUAGUCCCUGUGUCCAUAAGUAAAUAACUAUUAUUUAAGAAUAUAGGUGUAAUACUAAUUUGUUCGGCUGUUGUCAAUGGUGUUUUCGUCCAUGUCACUAAUUUUAGAAUCAGAAUCGUCAGUUUCCCUGAAAUGACACAAAAGGUUUCGAAAUUCGAAUUUUUAUUUUUUGUGCUUGUGUGUUUUAUAACUUUAUUUAUUAGUUUCUUGUCAGUGUUUUUCGUCUUUUUGUUCUAAAGUUCCUGUCUCUUUAUAUGGACAUACUAGUUUAGCCUUAUGUUUCCCUUUUAACCUUAGUAUAUUCAAGAUCUAUUUCAUGUUCCUUGUUGUUUUUUUAUUUGAUGUCUCUUGUGUUAUUUCUGUAUUUUCAUAUUUUUGUUUAAUUCCGUACUAUAAAGAAAUAUUUGUGCUGGAGUUUUACGUGUGGCAUAAUGGGUUAUUUCGUGAUUAUAAACAUAAGAGGAGGUGUAUUAGUAAUUAUCUAUUUUUCGUUAAUUGUUUUAUGGUCCCUUUCUAUAUCAGCUAUAUCAUUUUUGCUAGUAGAAAUUUCAAUAUUAACAUUCUCUUAUUAUAUAGUAUUACAGAAGCUAUAAUUUAUUUCGUUCCAGUAUUUGUUUUAAUUUGUUCCAUAUAGGCUCGUUAAAAAAAUCACCAAAAAUUGUGUCCAUAUAUAUAUAUUAUAAUAUUAUCUUUUAAAAAAUUUCAGUCAUGUUACAUUUUAUCCCCAUACGUUAAUAGGUCGUUUGAUAAUUUGUAUGCAAUCCCCAUUAUAUUCCUGUGCACUGUGCACCAUUGAUUUUGUAUCUAUAUUCUCUUGUAUCUAUUUUGAAACACUUCCUCAAUACUAUCGUCUUUAGAUAUUUUUGUAAUUUUAGACAACGCGUCCUUUCAUUUACCUUUUAUUUUCUAACGGUGCAGUUUCAUAUUGGGCUCUUUUAUGUUACGUAACCAAACAAGGUGGUUUAUGGUCAGGGUGGAUAUAUUUUUUAAAUUCGGAGCGUAGAAGAAAAAGGCAUUAGUUAUAAAAUCGCUUUUUAAGGCUAGUCUAAGCCAUUGCAUAAUAGCUCUCGGUAACUGGAUAAGUUAGGCCAACGUAAAGCCAUACAAUAAAACUAGAUAAUCAAUUUUUCGAUAGCUGGAAUUUUUAAUUCAAGUAAGUACAAAAUUAUAUUGAUGUAUAUAUUAGCAAAUUAUAAAAUUAAACUUGAAAACGAAGAGACGAUAAGUUAUGAUAAAAAGAAAUUUAAAUCAUAAGAAAAAUUAAAUACUUAUUAUGGAUUUGCUAGAAUUAUUCAAUUUGUUUGAAAAAAUUUAACAAAAAAUAUACUAUAUGAGAUAAAGUCGAGGCACAAAUUAUCAAACAUGGUAGCAAAGGAAGGCAAUAUUCCGUAAAAAACGAUAAUAUCCAGCAACAAUAACAACGCUGCUAACUGCGAAAAAUUCACAAACGAAAUAAAAUUCACGGCCGCAGCGGAUUGUAUUAUAUAAGCGCUUAUGUAUUGGUAUAUAGCGGUUUGGAUCAACUUCCUAACGGUUGCAAAGUUUUGCGAGUGUUUUUUAGUGAGAUUUAAGAACAAGCAAAUGCUGCAUCCAAUGGCGCUUCAAAAAGUUUUAAAUAUAUAUAUAUGCAUGCAUGUAUUCUCUUUUCCUUAAUAAGCGUUUUAUUGUCAUUGUUCAAAAAUUAUGCAUGCUACCAAAUCUAUCUACUACUACUAGCUACUAGCUACCAAAUCUAUAUACUAUUUCGAUACAACUGUGUCAAGAAUUGAAAGUGAAUGCAUUUUUUGUUCCCGACCCUAUAAAGUAUAUGUGCAUAUAUAAUGUACAUAGGAUAUUACAUUAUUUUUGGAACGCGAUAUUGACCGCUUGCGAUAUUGCUUGUAUACAAUGAGCGGAUGUUGAUUGUUUACAUUGCGUUCGCCACUCUGCAUAUUCUCUUUUCUUCGUAUCUUCGUUUGAUUUUUUUUGUAUUCUUUCUCUUUCCAUAUGAACGUCUAGAUCCCAGGAACUAUUAAAGCCAGAAAGUUGGGUUCUUUCCUGAUUCAAGCGCCCAAAAUUCCCAUCCCCGACACAUCACAUUUUUUAGUAUUAUUUAUUAUUUUAUUUAUUUUUAUACCCGUUACUCAUAGACCGAAUGGGCUUAUUAGAUUUGUUGAAAAAUAUGUAACAGGUAGAAGGAAGCCUUUCCGACCAUAUAAAGUAUAUAUAUUCUUGAUCAGGGUCAAUAGACAAGCCGAUCUGGCCCUGACUGUCCGUCCGUAGGAGCUUUGAGAUCUCAGGAACUAUAGAAGCUAGAGAGUUGAGAUUAAGCAUACAGAUUCUAGAGACAUAGUCGCAGGGGAAGUUUGUUGGCAUGCCCACCCACUCCCACGCCCACACUUUUAAAAAAUAUGUUGAUAUUUUUUCAUAUUUACGCCCAUUCUAACGCCAGCAAGACGGCCAAAACUACCACUUACACAUACAAAUGCCAAAAACGGUUACGCCCAAAGUUUUAAAUAAUUUCUUGCAUAUUUUCUCAUUUUAUUCUCCAAUAUCUAUCGAU
This is a long non-coding RNA of Drosophila simulans, 6410 nucleotides long. RefSeq lists it as uncharacterized. The record is from RefSeq and is a predicted model, not a curated record. The transcript is spliced from 2 exons. Lineage: Eukaryota; Metazoa; Arthropoda; Insecta; Diptera; Drosophilidae.